RNAcentral lists this ribosomal RNA (797 nucleotides) under Tetragnatha bituberculata. RNAcentral describes it as "partial large subunit ribosomal RNA". It matches the Rfam family "Eukaryotic large subunit ribosomal RNA", at positions 1112 to 1853 of the family's 3401-position model. The record is from RNAcentral. Lineage: Eukaryota; Metazoa; Arthropoda; Arachnida; Araneae; Tetragnathidae.
AUGAGAGUGCCCAGUGGGCCACUUUUGGUAAGCAGAACUGGCGCUGUGGGAUGAACCAAACGCCGGGUUAAGGCGCCCGAUGCGAGACGCUCAUGAGACCCCAUGAAAGGUGUUGGUUGCUCUAGACAGCAGGGCGGUGUCCACGGAGGUCGGAAUCCGCUAAGGAGUGUGUAACAACUCACCUGCCGAAGCAACUAGCCCUAAAAAUGGAUGGCGCUCCAGCGUCGAGCCCAUACCCGGCCGCUUCUUUAAAUAUUAUCUGUUUGAUAUUUAAAAAAAAAUGAGUAUGAGGGUCGCACCGGUGAGCGUUGAAAGUGCCGGGGGUGAGCCCCCCUGGGGCCACCGCUGGGGCAGAUCUUGGGGGGAGUAGCAAAUACUCAAGUGAGAUCCUUGAGGACUGAAAUUGGAGAAAGGUUCCAUGUGAACAGCAGUUGAACAUGGGUCACUCGGUCCUAAAGGAUUGGGGAAAACCGUUCCAAAACGGGACAUUUAUUAAAAGUUUGUCCCGCUAUCGACCGAAAGGGAAUGGGGUUAAUAUUCCCCAACCCGGACACGGAGAUAGAAGAUUCAUUUCUUCAAGUGCGGUAACGCAAACGAACUCGGAGACGUCGACGGAAGACCCGGGGAAGAGUUGUCUUUUCUUUGUAAGAGUUCGUGUCCCUGGAAUCGGCUCGUCCGGAGAUAGGGACGCUGUUCUCGUAAAAGCUCCGCGGCUCUUGCGGAGUCCGGUGCGCUUCUGUCGGCCCUUGCAAAUCCGAGGGAGAGAGUGUGAUUUUCGUGCCGGUCCGUACCCAUAU